AGGUAAAUACUUGAAGGACCAGGAUGUUAUUAUAUUUCCUUGGUACAAAGCCAAGUGUGACCAGCUGCUUCUAACAAACAGCAGUCCAGCAAGAAACAUUGUGUAUCUCUUUCAAAAUUUUUUUCAAAUUUUUACAAAGGGCUUGAUGUUCCUCUCGACCUUCCCUAGAGCACAAUCAUGUUAGUUUCCAAGUUCUCCUCUGUUGGAUGCCAGUGAACAAAAUUUGGAAUACACAUUCAGACCAGAGGCUGACCAAUCUAAAAUAUAGAUAUGAUCAGAGACUGACAAAGGGAGGAGUGCGUCAAUCUUCACUUACAGGUCCUGACACCGAUGGCAUUAGAUAAAGACUCAUUCGUGUCGAGCAGCAGAGAUUAGAAAAUUCGAACAAACUC
Molecule: long non-coding RNA, 392 nt
Organism: Rhincodon typus (whale shark)
Lineage: Eukaryota; Metazoa; Chordata; Chondrichthyes; Orectolobiformes; Rhincodontidae
Exons: 2
Source: RefSeq, a predicted model, not a curated record